GUGCCAGCCGCCGCGGUAAUACGGAGGGUGCAAACGUUGCUCGGAAUCAUUGGGCGUAAAGCGCACGUAGGCGGCCCAGCAAGUCGGGUGUGAAAGCCCUCGGCUCAACCGAGGAAGUGCAUUCGAAACUACUGGGCUUGAAUACUGAAGAGGGUCGCGGAAUUCCCGGUGUAGAGGUGAAAUUCGUAGAUAUCGGGAGGAACACCAGUGGCGAAGGCGGCGACCUGGGCAGAUAUUGACGCUGAGGUGCGAAAGCGUGGGGAGCAAACAGGAUUAGAUACCCCUGUAGUCC
RNAcentral lists this ribosomal RNA (292 nucleotides) under uncultured bacterium. RNAcentral describes it as "partial 16S ribosomal RNA". It matches the Rfam family "Bacterial small subunit ribosomal RNA", at positions 505 to 796 of the family's 1533-position model. The record is from RNAcentral.